GACGAACGCUGGCGGCGUGCUUAACACAUGCCAGUCGAACGGAAAGGCCCUGCUUUUGUGGGGUGCUCGAGUGGCGAACGGGUGAGUAACACGUGAGUAACCUGCCCUUGACUUUGGGAUAACUUCAGGAAACUGGGGCUAAUACCGGAUAGGAGCUCCUGCUGCAUGGUGGGGGUUGGAAAGUUUCGGCGGUUGGGGAUGGACUCGCGGCUUAUCAGCUUGUUGGUUGGGUAGUGGCUUACCAAGGCUUUGACGGAUAGCCGGCCUGUGAGGGUGACCGGCCACAUUGGGACUGAGAUACGGCCCAGACUCCUACGGGAGGCAGCAGUGGGGAAUAUUGCACAAUGGGCGGAAGCCUGAGGCAGCAACGCCGCGUGCGGGAUGACGGCCUUCGGGUUGUAAACCGCUUUCGCCUGUGACGAAGCGUGAGUGACGGUAAUGGGUAAAGAAGCACCGGCUAACUACGUG
Molecule: ribosomal RNA, 468 nt
Filed under: uncultured bacterium
Lineage: Bacteria
Description: partial 16S ribosomal RNA
Rfam family: Bacterial small subunit ribosomal RNA
Source: RNAcentral